AAUACAACUUCAUAAAACAGUGUUUAAUUAGAGAGGAAGGAAAGUUACAUUUGCAGAACAGACCAAUUUGAUUAUGUUUUAAAUAGACUGAUUUUCCAGGGUGGUCAUUCUUUAUUAUAUGCAUUCAAUUGACAUUACAUUACAUUAAGUAUUUAAUUUUAGCUCUCUUGACAAAUUGGCCAAUGCCCAGUCAGCCCCGGUAGGCUCUAAUCAGAUUUCUGUUCAGCCGUGCUCAUUAUUAAUCCUCAUUACCACUCUUGGAGGAAGCCCAUGAGUGGGGUCAAAUGGAAUUCUGUCCCCUACUGAGUCCGACAACCACAUUAUCUGGAGUCAUUUCAAAAGAAUGUGAGCAUUAUCAUAAUUUAUUGGGUCCUCAGACCCAAAUUGAAACAACGAAGCCAAACAAACCUUCCUUCUUAAGCCACUUGCAUCACCAGUGUCCCUAGUCAAUAAAGGACUUGACAUUUUCCUUAUGAACCAUUCUCCUGGUCCUCUCCCUCUGCCCUGGUCUCUCACAGUCUUUGCUUUCUACAACGUGAGGCCGUUGUGUCCUCAGGCAACGCAAAGCUCAGGCAGGACAGCAAAGGCUCCAGCAGCAGAGAAACUUACAUUGGCUGGAUCCACUUCAGCAGCUCCACAAGAAGGACCAUGUCUAACUGGAAAGGACCGCUGUGAAAUGGGCUCUGGAAGCUUCUCCCCCAGGGCAAGUGAGAGUUCAUCUUUGUUCUUGAUGUUGACUUAUCUCAAAUAAGGCCAUUUGCAUGAAGGAAGAAGAAAGUAACAGGCAGAAAAAAAUUAAAGCAUCUUGCUAAGAAGAAAGAUUGCGGAUGGGAAUGCACAAGAAGAAAAACUGUACAAGAAGAUAAAAGAAUAUAUUCAGAAUGGACCUUGAUUAGUGAGUCUAUGUGUUGUUGCAACAGACCAGUAUCUACUGGAGUUGACUUGGAGAGUUAUCUGAAAAAUAAUAUGAUAACAAGAUCUGACCUGAAUCUUACACAAUUUGGCUUGUAUAAGCCACACUGAUGCCAGUUACAUAAGAUGACCAUAUAUUUUGUUGUCCAGAGAUAAACAGAGAGAAACUCUUAGCCCUUGGCCAUCAGUAAUUGCAUUACAUAUUGGGGCAGAUGUAUUUGAAUGAGGAAUUCUCCAUAUAUUGAUGAUUAAUAAAAAGCUUGGAUUUUACAAUCAUUAUGAUGUUACUCCCCUAGAGAAAUAAAAUUCAUAUAGGUUUGGUAAAAUGAAAUUUUGAGUGAGGUCUCAGUGUUCUAUCUACUUAUUCUAUUGUAUUUAGAAUCAAGCAAUGUAAAAAGUGUCAUAAUUUUCCAAAACUUAGUGAUCUCUCCUUCCCCCCAUGUUCUUCUCUCCAUUUCAAAGUUGACUUGACCUGUGACAUCAGAGACACAGAAACAGACCGUGGAAGUCCAAUGCUUCAGUGAUGUAGGGAACUUUUGAAAAGCUGGUGUCGGGGGUGUUUCAGGGUUCGCUAGAACAAAGCUGGGCCAUGGAAGGAGAGUUAUUCAACCAAACACAAGCAGGACUAGUUAUCAAGCUCUCAAACUGUACUGCCCAAGAAGAAAAUGACUGAGCAGUGCACCUUGGGUUACCCAUCAAACCAAAAAGUCUUUUAGGGUGGCUUCUGGGGACCAGGCAUUGGCUACAAAUUGUUGACUUUGGAGGGUCAUUUCACAAGUGCCAUUGAGUCCAUUCUUUGUGCUGUGUUACAUAGCUAUUUUCCAAGUUUACUGGGGAAGGGGUUGGUUAGAAAACAAAUUAAGAUUUGAGGAACUCUUCACAUUUUUCAUCAUGUGGAAUUGUAAUUUUGCUAGGAAUACUAUUUAAAAUAUUUGAAGUGAGAAAUUUCUGUGGCAAACGCAGAAAUUGAAAAAUGUGAUGGUGAUGGUGAUGGUGGGGUGGUGCUUAAAAUACAUCGAACAUAAAUAAGAUUGCUAGUUUAGGGGGUUGAUUCUGCUCUUAGAGUCUUUGGCCUGCUUAUCUUUUAGCAUUGCCCCAGAAAACAGCAAGGCAAAGGAAGUGAAAUGGAAAUUAUUAGAUAUUCCUCCUAGUUAACUGGUUCAAUUAAAAAAAAAUUGUUGGUAGACAGAAUAAAAAAUGAGGUUUUAUAGUAUUUGUCAAUUUUCAGUCACUCUAUAUUUGUCUACCUGUUAUGUCAUUUAAUGAGUUGUGGUUGUCAAUCAGGGAAAACAAAGGCCAAAUAGGAAAUUGUGAUUUGUUUAUUGCAAGUAAGGGUGAGAUGAGGACCAAGUACUGCUUUAGAUUUGUUCUAAGAUAAUAUGGAGCUUGUGGCUUUAUUAAAUGGGUUUUAUUAAUGAGAUUUUUUUUUUAUCAU
Molecule: long non-coding RNA, 2347 nt
Organism: Choloepus didactylus (southern two-toed sloth)
Lineage: Eukaryota; Metazoa; Chordata; Mammalia; Pilosa; Megalonychidae
Exons: 3
Source: RefSeq, a predicted model, not a curated record